This 650-nucleotide ribosomal RNA is filed under the name Pseudomonas sp. Its description in RNAcentral is "bacterial SSU rRNA". It matches the Rfam family "Bacterial small subunit ribosomal RNA", at positions 57 to 700 of the family's 1533-position model. Lineage: Bacteria; Pseudomonadati; Pseudomonadota; Gammaproteobacteria; Pseudomonadales; Pseudomonadaceae. The record is from RNAcentral.
GCAAGUCGAGCGGCAGCACAGGUACUUGUACCGGGUGGCGAGCGGCGGACGGGUGAGUAAUGCCUAGGAAUCUGCCUGGUAGUGGGGGAUAACGCUCGGAAACGGACGCUAAUACCGCAUACGUCCUACGGGAGAAAGCAGGGGACCUUCGGGCCUUGCGCUAUCAGAUGAGCCUAGGUCGGAUUAGCUAGUUGGUGGGGUAAUGGCUCACCAAGGCGACGAUCCGUAACUGGUCUGAGAGGAUGAUCAGUCACACUGGAACUGAGACACGGUCCAGACUCCUACGGGAGGCAGCAGUGGGGAAUAUUGGACAAUGGGCGAAAGCCUGAUCCAGCCAUGCCGCGUGUGUGAAGAAGGUCUUCGGAUUGUAAAGCACUUUAAGUUGGGAGGAAGGGCAGUUGCUUAAUACGUGACUGUUUUGACGUUACCGACAGAAUAAGCACCGGCUAACUCUGUGCCAGCAGCCGCGGUAAUACAGAGGGUGCAAGCGUUAAUCGGAAUUACUGGGCGUAAAGCGCGCGUAGGUGGUUUGUUAAGUUGAAUGUGAAAUCCCCGGGCUCAACCUGGGAACUGCAUCCAAAACUGGCAAGCUAGAGUAUGGUAGAGGGUGGUGGAAUUUCCUGUGUAGCGGUGAAAUGCGUAGAUAUAGG